This 517-nucleotide long non-coding RNA is filed under the name Gadus morhua (Atlantic cod). RNAcentral's name for it is "lncRNA (ENSGMOG00000035648.1)". Lineage: Eukaryota; Metazoa; Chordata; Actinopteri; Gadiformes; Gadidae. The record is from RNAcentral.
UACUCUAAAUGGUUUCCCUCUGUCAUUGUUAGAUUCAGUUGAAAGUGACGGUGCAAAUACAGCUGCCAAUGAGGAUUCUCUGGAAAGUGAUAAUGACAAUCACUCUGAAAGUGCCAGUGAUGACUCACUUGAACACGAUCCUGAAAAUGACCCGGAAUACACACCUGUCAAUGAUGGUGAGUAACUUAUUGUCAAUUUGUUUUUUUGCAUUUCUGUCAGCUACUAAUGGUCUCAGCCACACACACACACACACACACACACACACACACACACACACACACACACACACACACACACACACACACACACACACACACACACACACACACACACACACACACACACACACACACACACCACAGCAAUGCCAAACUUUAAUGCAUGCCUACACACUGACACACAUACUUCCACAUGCUAAGAAACCAUGUAAGAGAAAUGUGAAUUUGUGAAACAUGUUUUCUUUUGUUUUUCUUUUACAGUUUUUUACGAUACAAUAAACACUAAAAUCUAAAGUUUU